RNAcentral lists this ribosomal RNA (497 nucleotides) under uncultured bacterium. RNAcentral describes it as "partial 16S ribosomal RNA". It matches the Rfam family "Bacterial small subunit ribosomal RNA", at positions 28 to 507 of the family's 1533-position model. The record is from RNAcentral.
GAUGAACGCUGGCGGCGUGCCUAAUACAUGCAAGUCGAGCGAACAGACGAGUAGCUUGCUCCUCUGACGUUAGCGGCGGACGGGUGAGUAACACGGGGAUAACCUACCUAUAAUACUGGGAUAACUUCGGGAAACCGGAGCUAAUACCGUAUAAUAUAUUGAACCGCAUGGUUCAAUAGUGAAAGACGGUUUUGCUGGAACUUAUAGAUGGAUACUCGCCGCUUUAGGUAGUUGGUAAGGUAAUCGCUUACCAAGGGAACGACUCGCAGGCGACGUGAGAGGGUGAUCGCCCACCUGGGAACGGAGACACGGACCUGGGGCCUACGGGAGGCAGCAGAAGGGAACCUUACGCAGUGGUCGAAAGCCUGACGGAGCAACGCCGAGUGAGUGAUGACGGUCUUGGGUGCGUAAUACCCUGUUAUUAGGGAAGAACAAAUGUGUCAGUAGCUAUGCCCGUCUUGACGGUACCUAAUCAGAAAGCCACGGCUAACUACGUG